CCCCUCAUUCUUUGCCAAAU
Molecule: non-coding RNA, 20 nt
Filed under: Rattus norvegicus (Norway rat)
Lineage: Eukaryota; Metazoa; Chordata; Mammalia; Rodentia; Muridae
Source: RNAcentral